GCCUCUUGGUCUGGGACAACUGUUGGAAACGACAGCUAAUACCGGAUAUUAUGAGAUUCUCGCAUGGGAAACUUAUGAAAGCUAUAUGCGCCAAGAGAGAGCCUUGCGUUCCAUUAGCUAGUUGGUGGGGUAACGGCCCACCAAGGCGACGAUGGAUAGCCGGCCUGAGAGGGUGAACGGCCACAAGGGGACUGAGACACGGCCCUUACUCCUACGGGAGGCAGCAGUGGGGAAUAUUGGACAAUGGGCCACAAGCCUGAUCCAGCAAUUCUGUGUGCACGAUGAAGGUCUUCGGAUUGUAAAGUGCUUUCAGUUGGGAAGAAGAAAGUGACGGUACCAACAGAAGAAGCGACGGCUAAAUACGUGCCAGCAGCCGCGGUAAUACGUAUGUCGCAAGCGUUAUCCGGAUUUAUUGGGCGUAAAGCGCGUCUAGGCGGAAAAAUAAGUCUGAUGUUAAAAUGCGGGGCUCAACUCCGUAUUGCGUUGGAAACUGUUUUUCUAGAGUACUGGAGAGGUGGGCGGAACUACAAGUGUAGAGGUGAAAUUCGUAGAUAUUUGUAGGAAUGCCGAUGGAGAAGUCAGCUCACUGGACAGAUACUGACGCUAAAGCGCGAAAGCGUGGGGAGCAAACAGGAUUAGAUACCCUGGUAGUCCACGCCGUAAACGAUGAUCACU
This 675-nucleotide ribosomal RNA is filed under the name uncultured bacterium. RNAcentral's name for it is "bacterial SSU rRNA". It matches the Rfam family "Bacterial small subunit ribosomal RNA", at positions 128 to 817 of the family's 1533-position model. The record is from RNAcentral.